GACGAACGCUGGCGGCGUGCUUAACACAUGCAAGUCGAACGGAAAGGCCCUGCUUUUGUGGGGUGCUCGAGUGGCGAACGGGUGAGUAACACGUGAGUAACCUGCCCUUGACUUUGGGAUAACUUCAGGAAACUGGGGCUAAUACCGGAUAGGAGCUCCUGCUGCAUGGUGAGGGUUGGAAAGUUUCUGCGGUUGGGGAUGGACUCGCGGCUUAUCAGCUUGUUGGUGGGCUAGUGGCUUGCCAAGGCUUUGACCGGUAGCCGGCCUGAGAGGGUGACCGGCCACAAUGGGACUGAGAUACGGAGCAGACUCCUACGGGAGGCAGCAGUGGGGAAUAUGGCACAACGGGAGGAAGCGGGAUGCAGCAACGCCGCGUGUGUGAUGACCGCCUGCGGGGUGUAAACCGCAUUCGCCUGUGACGAAGCGGGAGUGACGGUAAUGGGUAAAGAAGCACCGGCUAACUACGUG
Molecule: ribosomal RNA, 468 nt
Filed under: uncultured bacterium
Lineage: Bacteria
Description: partial 16S ribosomal RNA
Rfam family: Bacterial small subunit ribosomal RNA
Source: RNAcentral